AGUGAACGCUGGCGGUAGGCCUAACACAUGCAAGUCGAACGGCAGCACAGUAAGAGCUUGCUCUUACGGGUGGCGAGUGGCGGACGGGUGAGGAAUACAUCGGAAUCUACUUUUUCGUGGGGGAUAACGUAGGGAAACUUACGCUAAUACCGCAUACGACCUACGGGUGAAAGCAGGGGAUCUUCGGACCUUGCGCGAUUGAAUGAGCCGAUGUCGGAUUAGCUAGUUGGCGGGGUAAAGGCCCACCAAGGCGACGAUCCGUAGCUGGUCUGAGAGGAUGAAUCGGCCACCUGGAACUGAGGAACGGUCCCGACUCCUACGGGAGGCCGCAGUGGGGAAUAUUGGACAAUGGGCGCAAGCCUGAUCCAGCCAUACCGCGUUGGUGAAGAAGGCCUUCGGGUUGUAAAACCCUUUUUUUGGGGAAGAAAAACAGCCGGUUUAAACCCCGCCGUUCUGACGGUACCCAAAGAAAAAGCCACGGCUAACUUCGUG
RNAcentral lists this ribosomal RNA (492 nucleotides) under uncultured bacterium. RNAcentral describes it as "partial 16S ribosomal RNA". It matches the Rfam family "Bacterial small subunit ribosomal RNA", at positions 29 to 507 of the family's 1533-position model. The record is from RNAcentral.